AUCAGUUCACACGAUUAUUUAACAUUGCAUAUACGUAACUGGAUUUGGAUGGGGGCAUCAUCGGGAAACUGGGAAACUGGGAAACUGGGAAACCAACAUUAGGAAAGUUGAAGAUGAUGCGAUCGAAUCUCUGGGAAAUGAGAAAGGAAUGUUGGCUCAUCUCUUUUACAUCCACCCCGUACAACACCAAGCAGCCUCUUUCUUCAGGUUCUCUCACAUUACUCGAUCCAUUUCCAUAUUCGUUACUUAAAAUCCUCUGCGUCAAACAGACCAUUGUCAUCUCUUUACCCAGAAUAUAUACGUAUAUAUAUAUACACACUCAGGAACUAAUGUAUCUGUCCAGAGAUUAUUGAUAUCAUGUUUUUAUCAGAAAACCCAUCAGCCAAAAACAUUUGAUGGAAAACCCACGAAUGAAAUUUCUUCAGCAAGCAUAUAUAUAUAUAUAUAUGUAUAUAUAUAUAUAUAUAUAUAUAUAUAUGAUAUUAGACACUUAAGGUAUCUGCCCAGAGAUAAAAUGAUAUUAUGUUUUUAUCAAAAACCCAUCUGCAAAAUCUAUUUUGAUGGAAAACCCAGAGAGGAAAUCUAUUCAUGUUUGAGAAAUAGUAGGAAGAAAAAGAAGAAAGGAAAAACCUUCGCCCUAUCAAGGCAAGUGACACCAUGUAUAUGUACACAUACUAAUGUGUCAGUGGAUAUAAUAUCAUGUUUUUAUCAAAAGCCCAUCUGCGAAAUCCAUUCUGGUGGAAAACCCAGGAAGAAAAUCCAUUCAGGUUUGAGAAAAUAGAAAAAAGAAAAGAAAAACAACCUUGGGUAUCAAGGCAAGUGGCACCAUAUAUAUACACAUACUAAUGUGUCGGUGGGAAGGUGAAAUAAUACCAUGCUUUUAUCAAAAACCCAUCUGUGAAAUCCAUUUUGAAGGCAAACACAGGAAGGAAAUCUAUUCAGGUUUGAGAAAAUAGAAAGAAAGAAAAGAAAAAUAACUUGGGUCUCAAGGCAAGUGCCGCCAAUGUUUCCUGCGAAGCCAAAAGCUCUGGCCGAGCAGAGGGAAAAAGAGAAGUCUCCUUCUCCAACCAAUAAAACCAGAUGCUUUGAUGAGUAAUGAUUUUUCCAUUUUUCUACUUCGUUUUCCUCUGGUGAUUUUACUUCUUCGUCUUAUUUCCCCAUUAACCAUUGUUUGGUCUUCCUGCCUCUUUUUCUCUUCAUCUGUGAUGGGGGAAUUCCUGUUUGUGCCACCAUUCAUAUAUGAAUGAUUUUUGUUUGUUUAUUUUCAUGAAAAAAAAUCACAGAUGAGCUAUAAUAAAUACAUAAGUAUGAUUAUUGUAUAUUUUACAUUUUACUAGCUCUUCUGUGAUUCUUUUUCGUAAAACACUUUUAUACAUAUGUCAUGCACCACAGAUUAUGCGUAAUGGAAAAAACUUUUAUACAUUUAAGAGUAUACAAGUUAAUUUAGAGUAGAAAGAGGUACGCUACGUAGUUGAGAAAUUAAAAAAUCGAGAUGACAAAUACCUGCUUGGAAAAAGCAAAAAAUUUAAAAUUAAUGGAAUUCCUGUUAGUCUAGGGCUUGUUUAAUUUUCGUUUCCUAUAGCCUUAUAUAUGUAUAUGUAUGUGUGUUUUAGAUUAGUAUAGUCAUAUAUUAUGCCAUGAAACUAAGAUAACUUUUGGUGGUUAUUUACGACAAUCUAUACAUGCAUAAUGUACAUGUAUAAUACAGAUAUCUGGUCAUUAGAUGAUUAAUAAGCAAGUCAUACACCAAACUAAUAUCAUUUUAGAUUAAAUAUAUAUUAAUAUGCCUUUUGUAUAAAAUCUUUACACAAAGAUUGAUAUUAACCAGUUUGGAUGGUUCAAGAUCUUGAAAGAUUUUGUAGUUGAUCUUGAAUAUACAACUACAAUUAGAAUAUACUGGUUAUUGUUUAGAACGAGCGUAGGAGAUGAAUGGUUAAGAUUAUUGAACAAUGAUAAAGCAUGCUGAGAAGCUGUUGAACAUUGCAAUGAUGGAGAUGUUAUAAUGAGUAUGUUUCUACUGUAUCAAUUUAUAAUGAGAAAAUAGAUUUUAUUAAGUUGAAACGAGUCGGAGGGAUAAUUUAAAGACAUUAGAGGAGUGUACACUGAGAAUGAUGAUGUGAAAAUGAGAGAGACCACAAAAGAUAUCAGAAAUCUUACUUACAGCCAUUUAUAAGAUAAUAACGUAACUGCAUGCAUCAAGUAAAAAGUGUAUAGAAAUAGCAUCAUUGAUGACUGGGGUAAUAAUUUAACUUGUAGAAUUCAGGGAGUUAUUUGAGGAGUGAUGAAUAGUCGUGAUGACGAGAUAUAUAUAUAUAUAUAUAUAUAUACACACACACACAUGAGCUUCUGCAAGUUAAAGUUGGGAGAUUAUGAGUUGAUUAAAUUUCUGAAAAAUGAAAAAAAAUAUGGAAGAAAGUGAAGAGAAAAAAAUGCAGGAAAAAUAAGAGUUUUCUGAUGUUGGAAAAGUGUUUAAUGACCUACACUUUUCCAUUAAUUUGAUACAUGUAUAUAUAUAUAUAUAUAUAUAUGUAUAUACAAGAUGGAGGGAAAAAUUUACAGAUUAAAUCACCAAUGAAUUCUACCAACUCUUAAGCAGAUCAUCAUUAAAUCAGAAAAGUAAAGGAGCUCAAUUUCUAUUUGACAGCUUACUACCUAAAGCUGUCAAUACUAAAAAAAGAAUAGUAAACAGAUAAUUCUGGAGUUGAAAUAACAAAAGAGUCAGCUCAUUGUUCCAUGGAAGACUCAAUCUUUAACGAGAUCACUGUCAAGCUUGAACUUAAAAGUUCUUGAAAGGCUGAGCUUAAAUUUACGGGUUAGAAAAGUCACCGCUGCCUCUUUUGUUGUGGUAACCAGGGUAAUUGUCUUUGCAGAAAGGAACCUUCUCAUGCAAAGCCAGACUUUUCCUCUCUGCGUUCUCCACUAAUCCCCAACAGUUGUAAGGAUAUCCUUCCUUGUGGCUUCGCAUGAAUCUCACCUUCAUCCUCUUUCAGUAGAACUCUAGC
Molecule: long non-coding RNA, 3002 nt
Filed under: Carica papaya (papaya)
Lineage: Eukaryota; Viridiplantae; Streptophyta; Magnoliopsida; Brassicales; Caricaceae
Description: long non-coding RNA (CPAP_LNC010534)
Source: RNAcentral